CUGCAGAUAACUUGGAAUACUUCGAUAUCUAAAUAAAUAUAAACGCCAUCUGUGUUUUUAUGCGCUAAAAAUAAUGUCAUACGACACACAAAGCCAAAAAAUACUAAAAACUAGACGCCAUCUUGACAUUCCGGCUACCAGCCUCAAGUGAACGAGACGUCUGCUUUGAAAACUUUUUCGGAGAACGCAUACACAACGAAAAAAGUCAGAUAAAGAAAACAGAACACCGAAAAAAAAUAUUAAGGGAAAAGGUAAGAAGAAAAUAACGAAAAAGACA
RNAcentral lists this unclassified non-coding RNA (277 nucleotides) under Melitaea cinxia (Glanville fritillary). Its description in RNAcentral is "misc RNA ENSMCXG00005008595.1". Lineage: Eukaryota; Metazoa; Arthropoda; Insecta; Lepidoptera; Nymphalidae. The record is from RNAcentral.